AUGCAGAUACGGAAACCGAGGUUUUCUUACUUCCUGCCGCUGGCCUGGGCACUGGAAGUUGACUCCAGGAGGGCAGGGUGUCUGUUUUUAUUACCACUCAGCAAGUGUCACAAAUACACACGGGUGUGUCUGCCCUAUAGUGGAUCCUGGCAGGCACUGUUCUUAUUACCACUCAGCAAAGUGUCACACAAAUACAUACGGGUGUGUGUGCCCUCUAGUGGAUGCUGGCAGGCACUGUUCUUAUUACCACUCAGCAAGUGCCACACAAAUACACAGGGGUGUGUCUGCCCUCUAGUGGAUGCUGGCAGGAACUGGGAGCAAAUGUGACCAUAAAAAAAUGAACGAUUUAAAAAACACCCAUUAUCUCCAGAGGGGAUUUAACUCUAACAAGAGGCUUUUUUUUUUCUUUUUUCAAAUGGACUGAUGGGUAAAAAUAAUAACUUCAUGAACCAAAAACAAAGUAAUAUACUUUAGAAAGGAAGCAGGCUAGAAAACCCACAGUUGCAAAGCGAAUAAAAUUUCCAAUUGCCUCUUUGAGUCCCUUCCUGGAAGUAGUCACAGCCGACUUCCUCCUCUGUUUUUUGUUUGUUUGUUAUUUGCUUUUCUGUGGGGUUUUUGUUGUUGUUUGCUUUUUUUUUUUAAAAAAAAAAAAAUCCCUUUCCGUGCUUUUUUGUCACAGAAGCCUUUGUCACUUCAAACACUGCAAGUGUUCUUUUAAAAAAAUUAUAUCAACCUUUCAAUUAAAAUGCAACAUGUCUGCAACCUGGUAUCUAGAGAGGUGAGACGGACAAAGGAGCCCUUGUUACUGUAUGUUUUCUUGCCCCAGCCUUCACCUUGCACACAGCAACAGACAAUGCACAAAGCCACUUCCUUAUGGACUGAAAUUCUGAUCCUUUUAUGACUGGCCUUUCCAUCCUUCACCUUCCCCUCUCCCACUCUGUGAAUGAUUGUAUUGGACAUUUUUGUUUUAAUCUCAGUGACAGGGGAACACAGGUAGCUCUAAUAUAACUGUGACCCAGAUGCUUCUGUUUCUAGCAUGUAUUUAUUUUGUAGCAAACAUUUACAUGCAUCAUUUUUCACUGUCUUUUGAAAAUAAUUAGGCAAUAUCUCAUCUGAGGUAGAAUGUUUCUAGUGGUUGUGUUCUGAGGGAAAAAAACUAAUCUGUUCUCUUUCCACUGCAUUCCAGGAACAGUAAGAGGACCUUUUGCUUGAAUAAUUUUUAUCCACACUACAGAGUGGGUAAUGAGCAGAUUAUGUAAAAACAAUUCAGCUUCACUUCAGUAACAGCCUCCUCAACUCAUUUUUUCUCAACAAACUUAUUUUUCCAGCAGAAGAAUCCCAGGCUUCUUAGAGA
RNAcentral lists this long non-coding RNA (1354 nucleotides) under Papio anubis (olive baboon). RNAcentral describes it as "lncRNA (ENSPANG00000049237.1)". Lineage: Eukaryota; Metazoa; Chordata; Mammalia; Primates; Cercopithecidae. The record is from RNAcentral.